CUCAACUCCUGUUUCAGUGUUUAACGUUUAACCGUCCGUCGAGAAUUUUUUUAUUAGUAAUUUUAUUAUUGUUAGAUGAUAAAAUAUAAAUAAUACUUUAUAUAUGAUUUAUCUUUUUAAAUUUUUUUAUAACUUUUUCAAAUAAAACGAACGGACAAACGUUAGAUACGAAAACUCAGGAAUUGAGUUUUU
Molecule: microRNA precursor, 192 nt
Filed under: Oryza rufipogon (brownbeard rice)
Lineage: Eukaryota; Viridiplantae; Streptophyta; Magnoliopsida; Poales; Poaceae
Description: MIR812 microRNA precursor family
Rfam family: MIR812 microRNA precursor family
Source: Rfam by way of RNAcentral